This 474-nucleotide ribosomal RNA is filed under the name uncultured bacterium. RNAcentral's name for it is "bacterial SSU rRNA". It matches the Rfam family "Bacterial small subunit ribosomal RNA", at positions 17 to 518 of the family's 1533-position model. The record is from RNAcentral.
UCCUGGCUCAGAACGAACGCUGGCGGCAGGCUUAACACAUGCAAGUUGAACGGGAUUUGCUUGGUGCUUGCACUGAGCGAUGAGAGUAGCGCACUGGUGAGUAACACGUGGGAACAUGCCUUUUGGUGGGGACAACAGAGGGAAACUUCUGCUAAUACCGCAUAAGCCCUAAGGGGGAAAGAAUUUUUUGCCGAAAGAUUGGCCCGCGGAAGAUUAGGUAGUUGGUGGGGUAAAGGCCUACCAAGCCGACGAUCUAUAGCUGGUCUGAGAGGACGAACAGCCACAUUGGAACUGAGACACGGUCCAGACUCCUACGGGAGGCAGCAGUGAGGAAUAUUGGGCAAUGGAGGAAACUCUGACCCAAGCCAUGCCGCGUGAGUGAAGAAGGUUUUCGAAUUGUAAAGCUCUUUCGGAUACGAGGAUGAUGACGGUAGUAUCUAAAGAAGCCCCGGCAAACUUCGUGCCAGCAGCUGC